This 253-nucleotide ribosomal RNA is filed under the name uncultured bacterium. Its description in RNAcentral is "partial 16S ribosomal RNA". It matches the Rfam family "Bacterial small subunit ribosomal RNA", at positions 524 to 776 of the family's 1533-position model. The record is from RNAcentral.
UACGGAGGGUGCAAGCGUUAUCCGGAUUUACUGGGUUUAAAGGGUGCGCAGGCGGUUAUGUAAGUCAGUGGUGAAAUCUCCGGGCUUAACCCGGAAACUGCCGUUGAUACUAUAUAUCUUGAAUGCCGUGGAGGUAAGCGGAAUAUGUCAUGUAGCGGUGAAAUGCUUAGAUAUGACAUAGAACACCGAUUGCGUAGGCAGCUCGCUAAACUGUAACUGACGCUGAGGCACGAAAGCGUGGGGAGCAAACAGG